RNAcentral lists this ribosomal RNA (386 nucleotides) under uncultured bacterium. Its description in RNAcentral is "bacterial SSU rRNA". It matches the Rfam family "Bacterial small subunit ribosomal RNA", at positions 28 to 417 of the family's 1533-position model. The record is from RNAcentral.
GUUGAACGCUGGCGGCAUGCCUUACACAUGCAAGUCGAACGGCAGCACGGGGGCAACCCUGGUGGCGAGUGGCGAACGGGUGAGUAAUAUAUCGGAACGUACCCUGGAGUGGGGGAUAACGUAGCGAAAGUUACGCUAAUACCGCAUACGAUCUAAGGAUGAAAGUGGGGGAUCGCAAGACCUCAUGCUCCUGGAGCGGCCGAUAUCUGAUUAGCUAGUUGGUGGGGUAAAGGCCUACCAAGGCAUCGAUCAGUAGCUGGUCUGAGAGGACGACCAGCCACACUGGGACUGAGACACGGCCCAGACUCCUACGGGAGGCAGCAGUGGGAAUUUUGGACAAUGGGGGCAACCCUGAUCCAGCAAUGCCGCGUGAGUGAAGAAGGCCU